RNAcentral lists this ribosomal RNA (512 nucleotides) under uncultured bacterium. Its description in RNAcentral is "partial 16S ribosomal RNA". It matches the Rfam family "Bacterial small subunit ribosomal RNA", at positions 28 to 507 of the family's 1533-position model. The record is from RNAcentral.
GAUGAACGCUGGCGGCGUGCCUAAUACAUGCAAGUCGAACGAAACUUCUUUAUCACCGAGUGCUUGCACUCACCGAUAAAGAGUUGAGUGGCGAACGGGUGAGGAACACGUGGGCAGCCUGCCCAAAAGAGGGGGAUAACACUUGGAAACAGGUGCUAAUACCGCAUAACCAUAGUUACCGCAUGGUAACUAUGUAAAAGGUGGCUAUACUACCGCUUUUGGAUGGGCCCGCGGCGCAUUAGCUAGUUGGUAGGGUAAAGGCUUACCAAGGCAAUGAUGCGUAGCCGAAUUGAGAGGUUGAUCGGCCACAUUGGGACUGAGACACGGCCCAAACUCCUACGGGAGGCAGCAGUAGGGAAUCUUCCACAAUGGGCGAAAGCCUGAUGGAGCAACGCCGCGUGGGUGAAGAAGGUCUUCGGAUCGUAAAACCCUGUUGUUAGAGAAGAAAGUGCGUGAGAGUAACUGUUCACGUUUCGACGGUAUCUAACCAGAAAGCCACGGCUAACUACGUG